RNAcentral lists this ribosomal RNA (253 nucleotides) under uncultured bacterium. RNAcentral describes it as "partial 16S ribosomal RNA". It matches the Rfam family "Bacterial small subunit ribosomal RNA", at positions 524 to 776 of the family's 1533-position model. The record is from RNAcentral.
UACGUAGGGGGCUAGCGUUGUCCGGAAUCAUUGGGCGUAAAGCGCGUGUAGGCGGUCCGGUAAGUCCGCUGUGAAAGUCGGGGGCUCAACCCUCGGAUGCCGGUGGAUACUGUCGGGCUUGAGUACGGAAGAGGCGAGUGGAAUCCCUGGUGUAGCGGUGAAAUGCGCAGAUAUCAGGAGUAACACCAAUUGCGAAGGCAGCUCGCUGGGACGUUACUGACGCUGAGACGCGAAAGCGUGGGGAGCAAACAGG